Molecule: ribosomal RNA, 281 nt
Filed under: Escherichia coli
Lineage: Bacteria; Pseudomonadati; Pseudomonadota; Gammaproteobacteria; Enterobacterales; Enterobacteriaceae
Description: partial 23S ribosomal RNA
Rfam family: Bacterial large subunit ribosomal RNA
Source: RNAcentral
AGCCCAGAGCCUGAAUCAGUGUGUGUGUUAGUGGAAGCGUCUGGAAAGGCGCGCGAUACAGGGUGACAGCCCCGUACACAAAAAUGCACAUGCUGUGAGCUCGAUGAGUAGGGCGGGACACGUGGUAUCCUGUCUGAAUAUGGGGGGACCAUCCUCCAAGGCUAAAUACUCCUGACUGACCGAUAGUGAACCAGUACCGUGAGGGAAAGGCGAAAAGAACCCCGGCGAGGGGAGUGAAAAAGAACCUGAAACCGUGUACGUACAAGCAGUGGGAGCCUCUU